GACGAACGCUGGCGGCGUGCCUAAUACAUGCAAGUCGAACGCUGAAGAGAGGAGCUUGCUCUUCUUGGAUGAGUUGCGGACGGGUGAGUAACGCGUAGGUAACCUGCCUUGUAGCGGGGGACAACUAUUGGAAACGACAGCUAAUACCGCAUAACAAUGGAUGACACAUGUCAUUUAUUUGAAAGGGGCAAUUGCUCCACUACAAGAUGGACCUGGGUUGUCUUAGCUAAUAGGUGAGGUAAUGGCUCACCUAGGCCACGAUAGAUAACCGACCCUGGGGGGGGGUCGGCCAACAUUGGACUGAGAACCCGCCCAGACUCCCUCGGGAGGCAGCAGUAGGGAAUCUUCGGCAAUGGGGGCAACCCUGACCGAGCAACGCCGCGUGAGUGAAGAAGGUUUUUGGAUCGUAAAGCUCUGUUGUAAGUCAAGAACGGGUGUGAGAGUUGAAAGUUCACACUGUGACGGUAGCUAACCAGAAAGCGACGGCUAACUACGUG
This 497-nucleotide ribosomal RNA is filed under the name uncultured bacterium. Its description in RNAcentral is "partial 16S ribosomal RNA". It matches the Rfam family "Bacterial small subunit ribosomal RNA", at positions 28 to 507 of the family's 1533-position model. The record is from RNAcentral.